Molecule: long non-coding RNA, 1026 nt
Filed under: Sorghum bicolor (sorghum)
Lineage: Eukaryota; Viridiplantae; Streptophyta; Magnoliopsida; Poales; Poaceae
Description: long non-coding RNA (SBIC_LNC018015)
Source: RNAcentral
UCGUGGGCAUCAACUCUCUGCCUGAUACAUUUAGCGGUUGUUGCCACCUUCAAGUCUGUAGCUGGACACCUAAAUCUCUCUGCUUGCAACAACAAAAGAUUGAUUGAUUAGCACAGGUAUACUUAUCUACUUUUACUAUCUAUUUAAGAUAUAUUAAUAUAAUCUAUGUUGUAUGUUCCAAAAAUAAUAAUCUACUAUUUUUUGAGUUGCAAGUUGCAAUUAAACCUCAAUUGCUUAACAGUUUCUCAAUUAUUAUUAUUUUGUGUUAGGAUCUAAUAAGAUUGGUUACGAAUAUGUGCAUGUUUUCAAGUAGUAUUUUGGCUGUUUUUGAACUCUCCUUGUUUCUAAAGAGUAAUCUAUUUUCUGUCUUUAACUAAACAUCACAUAUCCAUUAUACUCAGUUUGACAACCUUCUCCACUGAAUUUAGUUGAAUCUAAUUACUUGAAAGGAUUUGGAACCCCUUCAUGCUUAGCGUAAGGCUAGUACAGGAGCUUCAGGUCAGCUAGAGGAACAAGGAAACAUGCAAAAUCACUUCCCUGCAAGAAAAAAUUAGGGUCAGUAUAUACAGUUUGAAUGGGAUGUGUUGCAUGCUUAGGAGUUGGCAACAGGCACCACAUAUAUUAGUAAAGAGAGCAUGACAGAAAGUAGUGCAGUCAUAUUUCAAUUAUACAUUAAAUAAUAUAAACUCAUUUAUUUCUAUAUGUUCUCUUUAGCUAGCUUAUCUAUAUUGCAUUUUGUAGUUCGCGUACUUUUGCACCUAUACUGCUGCUAGCUGGCUCCUAAUCGAGUCAUCAAUUGAUUUGUAGUGUUCAGGUGGUGACACAAAGGGAUCAGCGAGGCAGUGCAGCGUGUGCUGUAGGAUCAUCAUCAUCUUGAUCAUUUCAUUGCCCGUGGUAUAUAUAUACACACACUUCUCAUCAUGCUACACAUAGUUACCGUAUGAUAUACACAUAUAUAUGUGAAUUGUAAUUACAUAUAUAUCUCUUUUGAUCCUGCAGAUCUUUUCAAAAGCAUAUAAUGUCAGG